UUGGGCAGUGUCAAUUAAGUCUUGCGUGGGACCGUCCCCACUAAAAUUCUCAGUACAGUACUGAGCGUUUGCGAUAACGUACACGGACAACACACAAUAAGGUAACCGAUAACAAAAGCCCUUUGACGAGCCCAACGAGACAACAAACCAAUCAACCUACUAGAACCGAGAGCUACGAUCAACUAUCAAAUGUAUGGCUAUGUUUCCCUUGCUUGCUCCCUCUGCUUACCACGGUGAUGAGAGUGAGGCAACUACCGUCGUUGGAUAAUUCAGAUGAAGAUAAAUCGUUGGUUAGACGGUAUGCCCAAGUGAGCAAAAGUCUGCAGAAACUACAUGGAAACACUCAUAAGACGUGGGAGUCCCAAAUGUAAGCCGUAAACAAAUCAACACCCACUUCACACUGGAAAAGAAGUAUCGCACAAUCGAUCCAAACCAUGAAAGCAACGUUGGUGUGAUGCUGAACGAGAAAUCAACAAGCCGUUGGUAUAUUGCUUCACUUCGUCAAAAUAAUUUACCUCGAUGUGUGGUCCAGUUUCACCAAGAUUGUAUACAUGAUUAUGCUUUUUGAUUUUGAAGUAAAUAAAUCAAGAAGCCUUUGCUAUUUCUAAA
Long non-coding RNA from Anopheles coustani, 609 nucleotides. RefSeq lists it as uncharacterized. The transcript is spliced from 3 exons. The record is from RefSeq and is a predicted model, not a curated record. NCBI's taxonomy places the organism in Eukaryota, Metazoa, Arthropoda, Insecta, Diptera, Culicidae.